RNAcentral lists this long non-coding RNA (435 nucleotides) under Bos taurus (domestic cattle). Its description in RNAcentral is "long non-coding RNA NONBTAT025224". Lineage: Eukaryota; Metazoa; Chordata; Mammalia; Artiodactyla; Bovidae. The record is from RNAcentral.
CAAGGACUGAAACUAAGUUCUUUAGGUCCAAGACGUGGAACACUGUUUCACUGGAAUAUCAUUAGGCUAGUGCAUCAGUAACAUGUUAAUUAUUAAUAACGAAUUCUCAGUGACUUUUGUGAAUAGUUAAUCUUGGCCACUGGCUGGUAGACCUAACUUAUACCACAAAAGCCAAUGAUAUGAUGAACCAAGAUUAAUGCCACUCCAUAUGGAGGGCUGCCUGGAAGUGUGUAACUUCAGUACCAAUCAGAUGGUACCAUCUUAUAAAGCCUCUUCUUGUAACAGUGAAAACUUGUGGGUAGGACAGUGGAUGAAGUUUAUUGCUCAACUACUCCUCCAGCUUGUCCAAUUUAAUGACUAAAGGAAUAGAGAGAAAAAAUGAUGGUUUUCUCAAUUUCAUAGAAAAGAAUGGUUUAUCCAUUCAUUCUUUACAUU